UUUUGAUAUCGCAUCCUCAAUGUCCAAGCUGAAGAAUCGACUGAAAGUCCCAAAAGAGUUUUCUCUGUCCUGCAGCACAGGUGGAAGCAUUAGACAGCAGCAGCACACAGUACAGACUAUCUGCUGCUGUGUCACAUCUGGGCAGCAGUUUGUAUUGUGGGCACUACAUCAGUCACAUCCCUGACCUCACUGGAUCUGGAUGGCUGGAAUGCAGCGACUCAUCCAUCAGAAAAUCCAGCUGGUCCAAAGCAUCAUGUAACAUCGAGAGAAACGGAUACAUGCUCUUCUAUGUGAAGAGCUGAGCAGAAGCUGAUUGAUGAUGCAGUUUUGAAGAGGAAAGGAAACACUGCAGAGAUGCAUUCUGGAGAGAUCUACAUCGAUGUUUCACUGCAAGAAAAGCAGACUGCUCCUAAUAAAAAACAUACAAAUAUACCAU
This is a long non-coding RNA of Puntigrus tetrazona (Sumatra barb), 436 nucleotides long. RefSeq lists it as uncharacterized. Lineage: Eukaryota; Metazoa; Chordata; Actinopteri; Cypriniformes; Cyprinidae. The record is from RefSeq and is a predicted model, not a curated record. The transcript has 4 exons.